This 460-nucleotide ribosomal RNA is filed under the name uncultured bacterium. Its description in RNAcentral is "partial 16S ribosomal RNA". It matches the Rfam family "Bacterial small subunit ribosomal RNA", at positions 338 to 795 of the family's 1533-position model. The record is from RNAcentral.
CCUACGGGUGGCAGCAGUGAGGAAUAUUGGUCAAUGGGCGCAAGCCUGAACCAGCCAAGUCGCGUGAGGGAUGACGGUCCUAUGGAUUGUAAACCUCUUUUGUCGGGGAGCAAGGCCCGCCACGUGUGGCGGGAAGGAGAGUACCCGAAGAAAAAGCCUCGUCUAACUCCGUGCCAGCAGCCGCGGUAAUACGGAGGAUGCGAGCGUUAUCCGGAUUUAUUGGGCUAAAGGGGUGCGUAGGCGGAAGAUUACGUCCGCGGGCAAAUGUCGGUGUGAAACAACGGCCUGCCGUUGAAACGGGUGUUCUUGAGUGAGCGAGAGGUAUGCGGAAUGCGUGGUGUAGCGGUGAAAUGCGUAGAUAUCACGCAGAACUACGAUUGCGAAGGCAGCAUACCGGCGCUCAACUGACGCUGAGGCACGAAAGCGUGGGGAUCGAACAGGAUUAGAUACCCCAGUAGUC